UACUUAAAAAGUGACUGAAACUUUCAA
RNAcentral lists this non-coding RNA (27 nucleotides) under Mus musculus (house mouse). Lineage: Eukaryota; Metazoa; Chordata; Mammalia; Rodentia; Muridae. The record is from RNAcentral.